CAUUUAGCCCAGUUUUUUCUAGAACAGGUCUCAAAUUAGUAAUACAUGUUUUCAGUUACCUGUCGUAGGCAGCCGUUUCAUGUUAAAUGCAGGAAUGUUCAUUUGUGGUGGUUGUACUUUGCUUUUUGGAAUCCUUGACAAGGUGGACACACGCGAAAAUAUAGUCACGUUCGUCGUGCUGUGUUUCAUCACGCGCGUUCUUCUCGCGCUAGGAAGCACGGCUCUGCAAAACGCGGGGUUCGUGAUUCUCGUGAAGUCAUUUCCGAACAACGUUUCCACCGUUGUUGCUGGCGGCUUCAUACUUCCGUUCGCGGUGAUAGGAGGUAUCUGCUUCACCAUACUUCCAUUUUCAUUGGCGUACCUACCCCCACAGGACGACACUCAGGAAGCGGAUGAGGACGUUGUGUCAUGGCGACAUGUGCUGCUACAUCCGCGAUCUGUCGUAAACAGCAUCGUGGUCAUCAUAGCCGCCCUUGUGUGGGCAGUUCUAGACCCGAACCUUGAGCCACAUCUUCGCGAGUACAAUUUGGGACCAGAAUUGGUGGGCGUGAUGUUUCUAAUAAUGGCCGCAGUUUACUCGGUGACGUCACCCAUGUAGGGUCGCUUAGCAGACUAUUUGCCGGAUAACAGGACAUUACUGAUUCCCGGCCUGUUAUUUGCCGCCCUUGGGCUUCUACUCUUGGGUCCUUCCCCACUUCUUGGGUUCGACAGUAGUUUCAACUCGCUGUGGCUGACCAUCGUGGCCCUGGUUGUUCUGGGACUCUCGGCCAGUAUGUGUGUCAUACCCACCUACGACAUCUAUAUCGACGUGCCCAAAGACCUGGACUAUCCCACUGACACACGAACGUACGGCAUGGUGUCGGGACUUUGGGUAUCGAUGUACGCCCUAGGGGAUUUUGUUGGGCCGACUAUAGGGGGCUAUCUUUACGAUGAGAUUGGGUUUGUAUGGCUUAUGACGUGGGUUGCAGGCUUCUGUAUAGUAACGACGGGUUUAGUCGUAAUGACUUGGUUCUUCGAAAAGCGAUGCUGUAUUAAAAAAUCUCAUCACGUCAAUGACCACACUGAUAACGUAAAUAAUGUACAUGACGUCGACGAGAAAACGCCACUUAUUCAUCAAGACGACACAACAAACAGUAUGCGAUCAUUACCGCCCGGUUUCCUCUUCAAUGCAUCAACAGAUGUAGAAAAUUCGGUUUCUGUCUAGAUGAAGGAUCAUUGGAACUUCAGCUUUUAAUUAUCGACGAUAUUACGAAAUUGACUGUACUUUAUUUGCUUAACUGAAAGUUUGUCAAGCGAAAAAACGAUUACUGUAUGUGGUGUUUAUCUGCUUUAUUUGGCUUGUAUAUGCUGUUCUGAAUCACAAAACUAUAUUGUGAAACUGCUCAAAUCAAAUUGUACCAACAUGUACGACAUAAUUGGGGACCUUUAAAUGCGGCACAUACUGAAAACGUAUUGCAAUUGACGCUUCAUAAUGACUUCAAACACGUGAAAUUCAUAUGUCAGUAUUAACGGCUUUUCCACGUGACUUAAACACUCGUGACCUUAGAGCCAAAUCACACAGCACGUCCGGUAUGACCCCAUCUUAUCAAACAUCUAAUUUUUGAAGUUGUUAUAUUAAGACACUGAGUUCUAAUUUUUUCGUAAACAAGGAAUUAUCAAAGGACCCAAGUUAUGAAUGUUACAUGGGCAGGACUAAUAGUAUAUCGGUCCUUAAGGUGUAACAUUCCUCCUGAUAAUUCAUAAACAUAGUAUUUAAACUAAAUGUAAAUUUGGUCUUUAAUAAGUAUUGCCCCGGAACCGCAUCGUAUGAUGUGCCUAUCUGACUGUUAGUUUAGUUUAAACCUGUUUAUUUUAGCUUGAUUGCAUCGAACGCCUAUUGGCUUAUAUAAACGCGCUCGAGUCCGUUUUCUGGACCUUAAACCAGUGCUUGGUGUCUUUUGGGGGCAUCUGAAGAACGCUCCUAAGAUAGGGAUCGAACCCGUGACCUCCCGGUCGCUAGGCGGACACCAUAUAUAUUACACCACGGCGACUGUUUAACAUGGUCACGUAAUUUAACUUAUUCACGUGCUGAAUAAAUGCUAGACUCAGGUAAGCAAUUAUGUUGUUAAAGAUAUAUGCUGUUGUUUUGUGUUGUUGUUUUUCAUUGCUUUGUAUUGCGUUUAUCAAUUGUAUAAUAUUUAAAUUUAAUGUUUCAAGGUUAUGUAGGGAACUUACAAAUUAUGUGCAAUAACGUUCACAGUUUGUGCUGAAAUGCUUGAAGAUAUUGUAUUUUAGUUUUUUUUGUCAAUAAUGUGCAGGUGUUUUUGCAAACAAUAUAAUAUAUUAUGUUCAUUUAUUUAAAUACUCUUUUAAAAUAUUCAUAAGUAUAAGCAUCACUUUGAGGCCAGUGUCAAAACGUUAAUGACAAAAUCCUGUAUUAAACAAAAUGUGAUAUUACUAUUUUUAAGUAGUAUUGUAUGUACGUUUUUUUACGUUUUCAUCGUGGACAAAGGUUGUGUCAAUUAUUAGAGUCAAGAAAAAAGUUCGUGUUCACAAAUUAUCUUGUUUCAAAAGAGAUUAAGCCACAUUGAUGCAUACUUCGGUAAAUUUAUUAUUAUUAUGAACACAAACUACGUAUAAAAUGACAAACGCAAUCAUAAAGCCACUAAUCUAUGUGACCAUGAAAAAGUCAUUUGUGAAAAAAAACACAAGAGAUUUUAUGUGGGCGAAUUAUGUUUUUUUACUGUUUAAGGCUUUAUUAAAAACAGUUUAUGCCAUGUCAUAUACUCGGAUGGGUAGUAAAACCCCUAAAUAUCGUAAUAUAUACGAAAAACGAUCAGUAUACAAAAACGCACUAUAGCGAAUGUAAUGUAUAUUGUAAUGUUUUUUAUGUUAAAUCGUUUCAAAUGUUCAAUUAAUAUGUGCGUUAAAAUAAAUGUAUCAUCUCGA
Dreissena polymorpha is the source of this 2928-nucleotide long non-coding RNA. RefSeq lists it as uncharacterized. The transcript is spliced from 10 exons. The record is from RefSeq and is a predicted model, not a curated record. Lineage: Eukaryota; Metazoa; Mollusca; Bivalvia; Myida; Dreissenidae.